CAUCCAAGACAAAAUCCGCAGGGGAAAGGCAAAAAGGGGAGAGGAGGAUGGCUUUCAGGUGGGAGACCUGGUUUUGUGCAAAAAUGUGAGGCAAGAGCAGAGAAAAGGCCAUCACUGGUGCAGUCUUGCUGUGACCCCAUAAAUGCAAUAACCAAAAUCUGGGCUGGGGAAAGGUGCUGUGGUCCAAAAUUGGGCCAUACAAGUUAUUUUCGGAAAACAUUGCUGACUUGGCCCCUGGGAAAGAGUUGGAAAGUGAGAUCAUAAAUGCUUAUUUGACACUGGUGAGGCAACAACACGCUGCAUUGAUUAUGGACUCCUAUUUCAUUACAUCAGUUUGGCAGGGGUCCACAAAAGGUUUCAGAAAGAGCUCUGGUUAGGAGAAAAUGUCCAGCCAUCGGCAAAUGGACGUGCUCAACUGUUGCCCAUCCAAAACAGCAGGACCUAACAUCCUGUGGCGUCUUUGUAUGCAAUCUUGCAGAACAAAUUCUUUCGGGGACCAAUAUACUCUACCCUGUUGACGAGGAGGGGGUUGAAAGGCUCAGACUGGACAUAGUACUCUCUCUGAUCCAAAACUCAGAUGACAUUUCCCAGCUAUGUCAUGCCUGUGGUGAGAGAAGCUCAGGUGCAGAAACCAAUGACUGGAUUGAAUGCACCUUCUGCGGAAAGUGGUACCACACAGUGUGUGUGGACUUCCCCUGUGCAGAAGGCGACUACAAAUGUUGUGGGUGCUAAAUAAACAGAAACAAUUGAU
Oreochromis aureus is the source of this 751-nucleotide long non-coding RNA. The record is from Ensembl. Lineage: Eukaryota; Metazoa; Chordata; Actinopteri; Cichliformes; Cichlidae.